This is a long non-coding RNA of Salvelinus namaycush (lake trout), 2049 nucleotides long. RefSeq lists it as uncharacterized. Lineage: Eukaryota; Metazoa; Chordata; Actinopteri; Salmoniformes; Salmonidae. The transcript has 4 exons. The record is from RefSeq and is a predicted model, not a curated record.
GAAACACUGGCUCUUCGUUUGCACUUUUGACCCCACAGCUUGUGGGCGGGCUUUAGUGGGAGGUGUGGAGGAUGCUUCUCCGUUGGUCAGUCAUUUUUUGAGUGUCAGUUUGGCUACAACCAAUAGUGUUCAGCCUUUCUUUCCGACACAAAGGAAGUCAUAGACACUUACAGUACAAAGAAGGACUGUGUGAUGAUGGCGUCUCAGGUAACCAGCACUGGGCGUUCUUCCGUCCAACUUCUACAUAGGUAGUAGUUCAGUGAUGGGGGGGUUGGAUCACUACUGGCUGUAGGCGAACAAGUGAUGCGCGUUUGGAGCAAUACUAGCUGCUGUAUCCAAGGGUCAGACAUUCGUUCACAUGACAACAGAAGAUAACCAAUUUACUAGUUACAGCAGCGCGUCCCCUGAACUAUAACGAAGAGGAAACGUUAGGAGAGAAGCCUGACCACGGAGACACCGGAGGUUUCAAGUUGGAUAUUAAUAAGUGUCAUUAUCUGUCUUUACCUUGGUCACGGAGAGGGGGUGAGAAGAGUGGCAGGUGAAAUAUUUGCAGUGAGCCUUGCACGAGGUGGACCGUCUCCAGGAUUUAUGCUGGAGUGAUGUUACCACUAUCUGUUGACCGGGACCCUGAAGGACCUAACAAAGGAUCAAAGAUCCCUUUGACCUGUCACCCUACACUGAAGGAAUCCUCAACUGUCACCCUACACUGAAGGAAUCCUCAACUGUCACCCUACGCUGAAGGAAUCCUCAACUGUCACCCUACACUGAAGGAAUCCUCAACUGUCACCCUACACUGAAGGAAUCCUCAACUGUCACCCUACACUGAAGGAAUCCUCAACUGUCACCCUACACUGAAGGAAUCCUCAACUGUCACCCUACACUGAAGGAAUCCUCAACUGUCACCCUACGCUGAAGGAAUCCUCAACUGUCACCCUACGCUGAAGGAAUCCUCAACUGUCACCCUACGCUGAAGGAAUCCUCAACUGUCACCCUACACUGAAGGAAUCCUCAACUGUCACCCUACACUGAAGGAAUCCUCAACUGUCACCCUACACUGAAGGAAUCCUCAACUGUCACCCUACGCUGAAGGAAUCCUCAACUGUCACCCUACGCUGAAGGAAUCCUCAACUGUCACCCUACGCUGAAGGAAUCCUCAACUGUCACCCUACGCUGAAGGAAUCCUCAACUGUCACCCUACGCUGAAGGAAUCCUCAACUGUCACCCUACGCUGAAGGAAUCCUCAACUGUCACCCUACGCUGAAGGAAUCCUCAACUGUCACCCUACACUGAAGGAAUCCUCAACUGUCACCCUACGCUGAAGGAAUCCUCAACUGUCACCCUACGCUGAAGGAAUCCUCAACUGUCACCCUACACUGAAGGAAUCCUCAACUGUCACCCUACGCUGAAGGAAUCCUCAACUGUCACCCUACGCUGAAGGAAUCCUCAACUGUCACCCUACGCUGAAGGAAUCCUCAACUGUCACCCUACGCUGAAGGAAUCCUCAACUGUCACCCUACGCUGAAGGAAUCCUCAACUGUCACCCUACGCUGAAGGAAUCCUCAACUGUCACCCUACGCUGAAGGAAUCCUCAACUGUCACCCUACACUGAAGGUUGUAGUCCAACUGCCUGAGGAAGUAGCUGAGGUUAAAGGUCAGACGAAGCAGCUCAGCCAGACGCUGAAAGUGGAGAAGCCCAGAGGAGUCAGGCCCAAGUCUGCCAGGAGACCAUUGACUCUCUGAACCUGUAGAGCAUCAGCAGCCUAGUGGCCCUGGAUUAGAUAAAGACCAGGGUAUGACUGGCCUCUCUCCUCAUUCAUAGUCCUUAUCAUGCUGUCACCGUAAGCAAUGAUGUAGUAACCAAUGAUGUGGUAUCCAGUGAUGUAGUUAUAAAAAGAACAGAAAGGCCUGGACACUGUAUAUGCUCCUUACUACCACAUUUAAUGACCUUUCAAUCCUUUUUCAUCUAGACUUUAUUAGGCCAGCACCUACAGUACCAGUCCGAAGUUUGAACACACCUACUCAUUCAUAAGGUUCUUUAUUUUCUACAUU